RNAcentral lists this ribosomal RNA (479 nucleotides) under uncultured bacterium. Its description in RNAcentral is "partial 16S ribosomal RNA". It matches the Rfam family "Bacterial small subunit ribosomal RNA", at positions 28 to 523 of the family's 1533-position model. The record is from RNAcentral.
GACAAACGCUGGCGGCGUGCCUAAUACAUGCAAGUCGAACGACGAAAGCCUUCGGGCAAGUAAGAGUGGCGCACGGGCGAGGAACACGUAGAUAAUCUGCACUUCAGUGGGGAAUAACUCUCCGAAAGGAGUGCUAAUACCGCAUAAGACCACAAGCUCUGCGGAGCAAGGGGUUAAAGGAUUUAUUCGCUGAAGGAUGAGUCUGCGUCCGAUUAGCUAGUUGGUGAGGUAAUGGCUUACCAAGGCAAUGAUCGGUAGAUGGUCUGAGAGGAUGAUCAUCCGCACUGGAACUGAGACACGGUCCAGACUCCUACGGGAGGCAGCAGUAGGGGAUAUUGCACAAUGGGGGAAACCCUGAUGCAGCAACGCCGCGUGAGUGAUGAAGGCUCUAGGGUCGUAAAGCUCUGUCGUAUGGGAAGAAAAAAUGACGGUACCAUACAAGAAAGGACCGGCCAACUUCGUGCCAGCCGCCGCGGUAA